Hevea brasiliensis (rubber tree) is the source of this 2496-nucleotide long non-coding RNA. RefSeq lists it as uncharacterized. The record is from RefSeq and is a predicted model, not a curated record. NCBI's taxonomy places the organism in Eukaryota, Viridiplantae, Streptophyta, Magnoliopsida, Malpighiales, Euphorbiaceae. The transcript has 4 exons.
AGGCCGUGACUUGUCCCACCUAAUGACAAUGUCUGCUCAAAGCUAAUGGAAUUAUUUUGAGGUCAAAGUUUGUUUCAUAAAAUCUUUAUAUCCAAUUAAUUAUACUUUUAAUUAAGGGGUUAAAGAAAGAAUACUAAUAUUGGUUGUAGCACUGAUGUCAUAUACUAUGAAGGUAGUUAGGUUUGACAAUACUUUUAUAUUUGAUGUGGCUAUGAAUUUUCAUUCAAUCUCACCCGACACAAAUCAACUAAAAUAACCACUGUCCUAAUCUUUGUUCGAGUCAUGAGCACGUCAGUUUGUAUUACCUUGGUUUUUCUUGCUUCUCAUCUUAUGCGUGUGUUGAUACAUAUAUUAGAUUGUAAGAGAUGUAUAUAUAUAUAUAUAUAUAAAAUUUUAGAUUUUGCAUAUGGAUAUUGGACAGCAUGACAUGUUAAAAACGUGGCUUUUAUAGUACAUUCAGAUUGGCAUAUUGGUGGUAAAGCUCUGAGAACAUUGUGAAAAUAGAGGAGACAAAACAUUGUGGCAUAUUUAUCAUGUUCUGUUUACUUGUAUUCAGCAGCUGAAGCAAGUCCUAUUAUAACAAGCUCAACAUGUUUUUGAUUUCAUCUAUAAGUAUUGAAGGCUAAUGGGUUUAUAAAAUUCAUGUGAAAAUGCUGGAUUGGUGUUAAAAGACGAAUACUGAAUUUUGUACUGGAGGACUAGAAUAUGGAAUAACAUCAAGAACACAGAGUUAAGGGUAUUUUUCUAGUAUAUAUUAUGAUUGGCGUUACUUCUUAUUUCUCAAUAUCUAUACAAUCAGACUCUUCAGGUUCAGGGGCAGCUUGUUUUGUGUAGACCAGCUGUUGUUGCACUCUUCCCCUGGAGAGCUUUAUGAUUAGGUGGAUAAAUAGAUCACAAUAAGGUGGCAAAGUUGGGGCUCACGCCAAUCUAAUGUAUAAUCUUAAUUGGUGUUCUUCUUUGUCCCCUAAGUUUGGAGAAUUUUCUUGCAAUGGGUCAUGAUCUCCUUUCCAGCAAUGAAAUUUUUAUUUUUCAAGGAAAAAUUAAACUGUUGGAAAGUUCUUAUAUUUAAUUUAAUCUUCUCCAAGUUCUGCGAGAUGACAGUAAGAGAACUAUGAAUGUAUACGACAAACCUAAUUUUCAAUUUUCAAAUGUACCAAAUAGAAAAAAAAAUUGCCAAACAGAAGGGUACUUGCUUUAGGCUCAUAUAUUCAAAGAGUAAGAAGGAUGGGUACAAUGUGAAAUAACAGAAGAAUGGGUACACAGGUGGAAGAACAUGCACCAAUCAAAGUUCCACGGUGGAAACGUAAUUGUCAGUGCGGAAGAGAAAUCAAUUCCCUCCAUCAUUAUACCACUAAUCGCUUUUGCUAAUCUUUUUCUUUCUUUUGCCCCAUUUGGCCGUUUCACCUUAUCUUAUCAUCCUCUUCCUUGCAAAGAAAGCACCUUUCUUUAUUGCUUUCAACUCGAAGAAUCUUAUACACUGUAUCCUCCAUUUCAAUUGUGCAUUUUUUGGAUCUAUAAAAGCCGUUGAGCUGGUGCUUACCGGUGCUCGUGUUUUAUUUUCACCAUUUAUGUGUUGUGCCUGGAAUUUUCUGGAACUUUGUUUUUCCAUUUUCUGGUUGCUUUGAAAGAUUCUAGUUAUGAAGAUUUCCUAGUUAUUGGGUCAUCUCCUUUUCAUGGUUGCCUUAGCUUUGGCAUAAUUGGUUGACGAUGAGAGAGAGCACACUUGUUAGCAUUCAUGCUGUGGGCAUGGCUGUCUACAGGUGUGCUUUCUAUCGUCGUCAUACAAUAUGCUCAAAGAAGGUUUUAUGUUUAUUGGCACAUGGCUGAGAAAAUGAUCCUAACAUCUUGCUAUAGCUGGAACUCAGGUUUUGAUUUUCUCUGAUUCAGACUUUAUGGUACCUUUAGCUGACUACAUUAUGCAUUACUCAUGUUAUUAUUAGCUUUUGAUGCUUACUUUGAUAGGAGACUAAUAUCUUGCAGUAAAAUGAUUUCGUUUGCUUGUUGAUUGAGAAGUGAACAGUUGUUUUAAAUUAGUAGCAGAUGUAAGACAACAGUGAAGAGAGAUCAUCCUAUUGCUGAUGUGGGCUGUAAAUGCUGUAAGUAGGUCUUUUUUUCUUGCUUGUUUGAAACAUUGUAUGGGCGAUCAAUUUGUUUCCCUUUGGAUCUCAUGUACUACUAAUUCAUUUACCUUUCUCCUCCUCCUCCCGCCCCACCCCUUCCCCAAAAUUAAUAAUAAUAAUAAUAAUAAUAAUAAUAAUCAUUGGUGCAUAGUUAGGCACUUUGGCUACUUCAUAGAAGAUAAAAGUGCAAGCUUCAACUCAUAUUGAGUGGUAUUAGUAUCACCUGUAUUUGAGCAUUUGUUUGUAUAGUGAAAGUUAAGACAAUUUAUUCUCAACUAUAUUUUCUACAAUGUGUGACCUUGAACUUUUACUUAUGGGUGUUUCAGUUUUCAGUUUGUGUCUGCCUUAGAACCCAAACUGAACCGAACUUUCGGUA